RNAcentral lists this non-coding RNA (29 nucleotides) under Mus musculus (house mouse). Lineage: Eukaryota; Metazoa; Chordata; Mammalia; Rodentia; Muridae. The record is from RNAcentral.
UAGCAUUUUCAGAGGGAACGUAGUUUAGU